AGAGUUUGAUCCUGGCUCAGGAUGAACGCUGGCGGCGUGCCUAACACAUGUAAGUCGAACGGUGAACCUUGCUUUUAUAGUGAGGGGAUCAGUGGCGAACGGGUGAGUAACACGUAGGUGACCUGCCCCAGAGAGGAGAAUAACCAUGCGAAAGCGUGGCUAAUACUCCAUACGAUCGGUUAUUCGUUUAGCCGAUUAAAGCUCCGGCGCUCUGGGAGGGGCCUGCGGCCCAUCAGCUAGUUGGUAGGGUAAUGGCCUACCAAGGCUAUGACGGGUAGGGGGCGUGAGAGCGUGACCCCCCACACUGGUACUGAAACACGGACCAUACACCUACGGGUGGCAGCAGUAGGGAAUAUUGGACAAUGGGCGAAAGCCUGAUCCAGCAACGCCGCGUGCAUGAUGAAGGCUCUAGGGUCGUAAAAUGCUUUUCUGAGGGAAGAGAAAGGACGGUACCUCAGGAAUAAGUCUCGGCUAACUACGUGCCAGCAGCCGCGGUAAUACGUAGGAGGCGAGCGUUAUCCGGAUUUACUGGGCGUAAAGCGUGUGCAGGCGGUUCGGUAAGUUGGAUGUGAAAUCUCUUGGCUCAACCGAGAGAGGUCGUUCAAUACUGCCAGACUAGAGGACGGUAGAGGAAAGUGGAAUUCCCGGUGUAGUGGUGAAAUGCGUAGAUAUCGGGAGGAACACCAGUGGCGAAGGCGGCUUUCUGGGCCGUUCCUGACGCUAAGACACGAAAGCGUGGGUAGCGAACGGGAUUAGAUACCCCGGUAGUCCACGCUGUAAACGAUGGAUACUAGGUGUAGCGGGUAUUGACCCCUGCUGUGCCGGAGUUAACGCGAUAAGUAUCCCGCCUGGGGACUACGGCCGCAAGGCUAAAACUCAAAGGAAUUGACGGGGGCCCGCACAAGCAGCGGAGCGUGUGGUUUAAUUCGAAGAUACGCGAAGAACCUUACCUGGGUUUGACAUAUAAGUAGUAGAGAAGCGAAAGCGGAUCGACCCUUCGGGGAGCUUAAACAGGUGUUGCAUGGCUGUCGUCAGCUCGUGUCGUGAGAUGUUGGGUUAAGUCCCGCAACGAGCGCAACCCUCGUCGUUAGUUAUAAGUGUCUAGCGAGACAGCCGGUAUCACACCGGAGGAAGGUGGGGACGACGUCAAGUCAGCAUGACCUUUAUAUCCAGGGCGACACACACGCUACAAUGGUCGGCACAAUGGGCAGCCACACCGCGAGGUGGAGCGAAUCCUGAAAGUCGAUCUCAGUUCGGAUAGCAGUCUGCAACUCGACUGCUUGAAGGUGGAGUUGCUAGUAACCGCGCGUCAGCCAUAGUGCGGUGAAUACUGUUCCCGGGCCUUGUACACACCGCCCGUCACGUCAUGGAAGCUGGUAACACCUAAAGAGGGUGUCCGAACCGAAAGGGAGGAGCUUUUUAGGGUGGGACUGGUAACUGGGACGAAGUCGUAACAAGGUAGCUGUAGCGGAAGCUGCGGCUGGAUCACCUCCUU
RNAcentral lists this ribosomal RNA (1495 nucleotides) under uncultured prokaryote. Its description in RNAcentral is "partial 16S ribosomal RNA". It matches the Rfam family "Bacterial small subunit ribosomal RNA". The record is from RNAcentral.